RNAcentral lists this ribosomal RNA (494 nucleotides) under uncultured bacterium. Its description in RNAcentral is "partial 16S ribosomal RNA". It matches the Rfam family "Bacterial small subunit ribosomal RNA", at positions 28 to 505 of the family's 1533-position model. The record is from RNAcentral.
GAUGAACGCUGGCGGCGUGCCUAAUACAUGCAAGUCGAGCGAACAGACGAGGAGCUUGCUCCUCUGACGUUAGCGGCGGACGGGUGAGUAACACGUGGAUAACCUACCUAAAGACUGGGAUAACUUCGGGAAACCGGAGCUAAUACCGGAUAAUAUAUUGAACCGCAUGGUUCAAUAGUGAAAGACGGUUUUGCUGUCACUUAUAGAUGGAUCCGCGCCGCAUUAGCUAGUUGGUAAGGUAACGGCUUACCAAGGCAACGAUGCGUAGCCGACCUGAGAGGGUGAUCGGCCACACUGGAACUGAGACACGGUCCAGACUCCUACGGGAGGCAGCAGUAGGGAAUCUUCCGCAAUGGGCGAAAGCCUGACGGAGCAACGCCGCGUGAGUGAUGAAGGUCUUCGGAUCGUAAAACUCUGUUAUUAGGGAAGAACAAAUGUGUAAGUAACUAUGCACGUCUUGACGGUACCUAAUCAGAAAGCCACGGCUAACUACG